Molecule: long non-coding RNA, 1607 nt
Organism: Portunus trituberculatus (swimming crab)
Lineage: Eukaryota; Metazoa; Arthropoda; Malacostraca; Decapoda; Portunidae
Exons: 2
Source: RefSeq, a predicted model, not a curated record
CCAUGAUAGAGAGCUGAGGAGCAAGACAGCCUUCUCCCUCACUGUCUGCUGGAUGGAGGAGAUAUUUGUCAGGCAGGGAUAGGAGAGGGCAUGGAAAGGAGAGAUGCUCCUUACCUUUCUGAAUACAAACGGAUGGAGGGCUUUGGCUGGGUGUAUGGCAGCAGGAGGUGGUCAAGAGAGCAAGCAAGGCUGUCAUAACGGUAAGUGACCCACCCACCACUUAAUUGUCCAGUUGACGCCGCGGGAGUGAGUUGGGAAGGGCGAGGCACAGCAGGUGGACCUCAAACCUUGGGCUACAUAGGAGUAUCGUACAUAGACGAAUAUUAUUGAUGGUAUAUUAAUACUCUAUUCAAGAGGUUUAUAAUUUAUUUGCCUAAAUGAAGAAAUUUAUGGUGACUGCUGUUUACUGUUUUUUUUUUAUCAUUCUAUUCUUGAUAUUAAGUAUGUAUAGAUGUAUAUAUUUAUGUAUAUAUGUAAUAUCACACUGAUAAGACCCACACACGCAGAACACUGCUCCCAUACACCCAGACACACUCAAACCACACACACAAAAAAAAAAUAAUAAUAAUAACCCAAAACACCAUACAACACCUCAAAAUACCAACAAACGCCCAAAACUCAAUAGAAACACCCAGUAUUCACUAAAACAUCUCCCACACCACAAAAUACUAAAGACACUUCAGACACACUCAAACCUUUUCAAACACUAUCUCAAAACGCGUCAUAUAACGCCUGUGAAUGCCCCAAACAAUCAAAACACUCCUUAUACUCAAACACACUCCCACAACACUCAAAGUACGUGAAAUAUACUUAAGAUACACACUUAACACACACUGAAAACACCUCACACACACUCAAAAUACCCUAAACUCGCUGAAAAUACCAUGCAGCUACCGACUUAGACACCUUAGAUAUACAACCUGAAUGCAUUAUAAAGAACGGCAAGAUUACACGGGAGACUUGGCUAAUUAUUAUGGCCUGGUUCCUCCUCCUCUUUUUCCUGGAUAGAUUUCCAUCUCUUUCACUCUCAUAUGGAAAGGAAACGUAAAAGUAAGUGAAUGGCCUGAAAAAUACCUUAUAUAAAUGAAGGUUGGGCGCUGUGUAGGGACGUGGUGAAGGUAGUAAUGCUGUCUUGGCUUGCAUUGCUGGAAUAUGAAAACACUUCACUUUUGUCUAUGUAUGCAUGUAUAUAUGUGUGUGUUUGAAUGUAUUUAGCUUUUGAGUGUGUUUCCGAGUGUUUUGGAUACAUAUGAGUGUGUUUUCGAGGAUGUAUGGCUGUGUGUUGAUAUGUCCGGGUGUGGUAAGACUGUACAGCCCACCGCCACCGGCCCACCACCACCACCAGCACCACUGUCUGUGUCUGUGAUGGCAGUCUGUACGGUGGUACAAAUGUAUGUGAUAAAUGUCUAUUGCUUCUAUUAUUAAUGAAAUACUAUACUUAAACAUAUCUCACACAUCGGUUUGUUGGUUAUUUGUCUUUCUUCUCGUCAUUGUGUUCAGCUUUGGUUAUUUGGCGAAGCAGUAAAUAUUAAGUUGUUCUUAGUUUUAUAGCGAGUCUUUGCAUCUCCCGCUCGAAAAGAAAAAUAAAACGUAUCUUAAAAGGCAAA